UCACUUUGUUGACACAGCUCAGCAGACAAUAGAUGGUGUGCCUCUGUGGCUGGAAGGACAAUAGGAUUGCGAGCAACUCUUGGCACCAGAAAUUGCUGGAUUUGAAAAUGCAGUUGGAUCAGACCACUUUGUGGAGUGAGCUCCAUCCCAUGCAGAAUCUAACCAGCCAGGUCCAAAGCAGGCACGUGAGAACCUGAGGAUUCGUCUCGGUCACCAAAAGAGCCCAGCCACAUUCACUGCUGUUCAGCUCCUCCUGUUAGGAAGGUGAGUGACUUGACUUUGGAAUAUUGUAUAAAAAUGUGCAGAUGUGGGAGAUGUACCUGUAAAAGAGACGACCGCUGUAGAAUGGAUUCUUCUGGUGGACUUUGGUCUGCCAUUGCCUUGGCAAUGGCACGAGCCACCGAGGUCGGGUGCACGUUGUGUGUGCUUCUGCACAACUAUUGAGGAAUAAUCUUGAGUCAGAGCAUUCAUCACGCAAUUGGUAAUCUUAAAUAGUCGUUCUUGCUUUUACCUCAAUGUUGGAGCUGUACUUGGAUUGAUCCUUUUUGACCGUAGACUUAAACAUCCUACCAGAGCUUUUGCUCGGCUGCUUAGCGCGUGUUUGAGCACGGUUGUUGGUGGUGAGGUGUAAUGAAGGUGGGGUAGUCUUGGAGCUCACUGGUCUCAGUUCCGAUCCUAUGGCAUCCUUUGCAAGCCAGGGACUCAUCUCCAGAUCCUAUAAGACAAGAAACAAUAGCAUGACAGUUUGCUUUUCCUAUUAGAAACAAUACAAAUUAAAGCAGUCAGAGGCUAACAUACUAUAUAGUGGAGGCAAAGCGGAACAACAAGGCCUCGGAGAUCGUCACUUCACGACAAUCCCGGUAAUGUAAGCGAUGAAAUCUUCACCCAUCCUGAGUGUACAGUUUUUUUCUUAUGAUAGAUGGUGCUAUACUGUAAUGAGCAGUCAAGAAGGAGACCUAGCUGUGUAUCACCUUCAUGCAUGUGUCAGUUCUAUUUCCUGAACUAUGGUCAUUCUCCUCUUUGCCAUCUGUAGUGGGUAAAGUCACAAAAAAGCCAAUUGAAGCAAAAUGCACCUGUUCAUCUUAAGACGCUCACUGACCUAGCGUCUCCCUUGAUAUGGUGAUUUGGAUUUUUGAGUGUGUGAAAUCUUUUAAUAUUUACCGCCAUCAUGCUGAGGUCAGAGUCACUGUAGCUGCGUUUGUCCCAAAGCAAGUCCCUGUUUCUCUCUGAGAAUCCUAGCUGCCCAUCCCAGGAGGACACAGAGCCCACCCGUGCGAUGUUGUGAUCUUGGCGCAGCAAGGGCAGGAACUGUUUGGACACCAGGGUCUCCCUCACCACUCUGGUCAAAAUCCUCAGUUCUGAUCUCUUCUCCAGUUCAGCGUGUAUCUCCGGAGCUGCAGGUAGUCCCAUCGACAAACAGGAGAUGUGCAUGCACAAAAGGUACACCACCUGAUGAGAUGGCAAGAGGGGGAUCAGUGAUGCUGCACUGUUAGUGACACAGAUAACGAUCAAGUCCACACCUUGGGUAUGUAUCUGAGCGUGCGAGCCUCUUGGCCGUGCAGCAGGAGCGCUUGGCGGUUGAGGUAGUGCUGCAGGGUGACGGGGGAUCCGUGUCGCAGGCUGAGGUCUGGGUACUGAACCAGCUGCGCGCUGAGGAGCCGAGCAAAGUCGAACACUUGGCUGAUCUGCGCUCGGGUUUGGAUGGAGCGAGGCCUCUUGAUGCGCACAUAAUGGACGGCCUCGCUGGGACUGAUGCGCAAAGUGUAGAUUAAGUAGCAGGCUAUCAGGACACCUGUGGAGCAGUCAUAGUACAAAGUUGUGCGUUGCGUGCCGUCACGCUUGCUGGGUUACUUCUGAUGGAACCCAAACCUGUUCUGCCCAGGCCUGCGUGGCAGUGCACAGCAACCCUGCCUUCCCCCACCGCGAAGCCCAGCACCUUUACCCCAUCUAUUAUGUUGACCAGGGAAGACACGCAGAAGUCUGGCAUCCCAAAGUUGUAGAAGUAAACUGCAAAAUGAACACACGUGCUAAAAAAUCCUUUGGAUGGACUAGUGAAGAGAAUUAUUGGCCUCAACACCCGGUAAUUGAUGAGAUCCAAUUCAGCAGCAGUACAAAAAUCACUCCGAGAACUACAAAUGGAUGAAAUGUUGCUGUUCCCUUGGAACUGUAAGAGUCUGCACUUCUGGGAAGACUUUUCUAAGACGUGGCUCUAGGGAAAUCUUGUCCCACAAAGAAGUACAAAACUGUUGCAAAUUCCCGUGAGUAUAUAAGGUGUUAAGAAUGCUAGUCUGUCUUAAUGUCUCAGCCCUGUGACAGGCAAUCUAUUGUGGCCGUGCCACGUUCCCUGGCUCUAAAUCAGUGGUACUUAACCUGGGUUCGGUGAGUCGGUCUCAGGGGUUCAGCAGAGCCUCCAAAGCGGAGGUCCGAACACACCUGAUUCAUCGUGUAAAUUCGUUAACAGCAGAACUCACACUGAUUUGCAGGUAUGUAAUUUGUUGCGAGUUCAUGCAUUGUGUUGGUUUUGUUCUUUGAACAAGGUGAUGUUUGUGCACGGCUCAUUUUGUGCACCAGUAAAAAACAUCUAUGCCUUGAAUUUGAAAAAAAUAAUCAUUAAAGAGGGGUUCGGUGAAUGCGCAUAUUAAACUGGUGGUGUUCCGUACCUUCAACAAGGUUAAGAACCACUGCUCUAUAUCAUCUGGAAUAGGCUCCAGCUCACCCUCCACUCUCAACAGGGUAAGCAGUGUAGAAAAUGGAUGGAUGGACAUAUUGGCUAUCGUUGGUUGUUUACACAAGAGUAUCGAGACAUAGCUAACAUACAACACUGAAAUUGACUAUUUGGUGGUAUACUCUACUAUACAGUAUCUCACUGUCAUUCUCCAUGAAGGUCUGGGGUGAGUAUGUGAAGCCACUUUUGGGGUCCAGGGGGGGUCCACAGUGAGCAUGCUCUCCUGGCAUUUGCAUGUUUAUGAUGGAUCUAAUGUUUAAUCUAGGGAAUAAGUCAUAUAUGAGAAGAACACAAUGCCACCACCCACAACUGUUGUGGACUUCAGACUUAAAUUCAAGACAAUACCGUUGGAAUUGCUCAAUGAUGUCAUACUUGUCAAUCAAGAGUUUGGAUGGUCGUGCCAUGGCAAUGAUGUCAUCAGUCACCCUGGAAUUUCAGGAAAGAGUGCAUUGUAAAUAAUCAAGCACCCCAGGGUCCUCAUUAGUCAGGAGACAAUGAAAUAGUCCUACCAUGAUGAGAAAACGCCUCGGAUGACCUGCUGGUUUGCUUUCCAACACUCUGGUCCCUCAUAACGGCAGUCCACGCCCCCGCAGGCCAGCAGACACAGAAGCUUGGGCGGGAUCACCCUUACCAGGUUCUCCCGGGCUUGGGAGUAAGCAGGUCGCGGAACUGGAACAUGGGUCUGCAUCCUACACCGGGGAGGAGGUGUAGCACCCCCACCCAAUAUCAGACUGUACUACACAACUGUCUGGUUUGUCAACUUAACUCAGAACUUACCUUUGCAAACGUGUUGGACGGAGGUACGAUAAUUCCCAUUAACUGUAGUUUGUACAAUUAAUUGUAGUUUGUACAAAAGCACACCAUGUAAAGGUGCAAAAAGGUGAAACAGAACACUUGUUGUUCAACACCGACCCAUUUGACUGCUUGCUGACAGGCACAGACCUGAUCCAUCAUUGCUAAGCCAGAUUAGCUGUCAUAAAUGCAUUACGCCAAUUAAAUAGUGCUUGUACAUUCACAUGCAAACACUGUGUAUCUCAAUUGACCCCAAAAAGCCUCAUGCAUUGUUAGUUUUUGUGAUAAGACUCAAACGGCACACAUUAAAUGAUAGUUAUGGUUCUACUUAAAUUCUAAUAGGUCUAUUAUUUUGUUAAUACAGUACUAGAAACUCCUCAGUGAGAUGCAUUGCAGUUAGAUGCAAACUAACCUAUUUGUAAUCGGGCAAAUAAUAAAUUAACUUCAUCUUCAAUUGGCUCUCAGAAAAGAUGUUUAUUUCUUAGACAAGAAUUAGGUAACAAGAGAAUUAAAACAUAUCGCACUAAAUAUUAAGUAUUUGCUAGCAAACAUUACAAGCAAAAGAAAUAUCAACAAUUAUUGUCAUGCAGAUCGUUUUUGCAAUGAGAAGACAAUGAAUCCUUUUAUGUAUUUAAACAGUUGUUAGAUCUAACAAUCUUGCUAGCCUUGACAAAAUGUUACGAGCAAACUUUUGGUUAGGAAAACAGGGCACCCAGAAAAACAGUACAAAGAAGUCUUUUGUAUUUUUAAAGUCACAACAACAUCUUCGGUAGGUGAUAAGCAUAAAGCAUGAAAAAAAGGCACAAUGUUCCUUUUUGGAUCCAUUCAGUGGGAGGCAAUGCUGUGGAAGAACACUUCAAAAACAAAUCCUGGUCAGUAGCCACUGAUCAGAAUGUAAGAAACGCUAACCUAAUAUCAGACUGGAAUUACUCAAGUGGUCAAAUUGCAUCAUUUUCAUGAUGACACUCACAGAUUGCUGGUCAGACAAUAGAAUGAAACUUGGACAAAUCGACAACACCUUAACCGCCCCUGUCAUAAAACAUUU
This is a long non-coding RNA of Syngnathus acus (greater pipefish), 4562 nucleotides long. RefSeq lists it as uncharacterized. The transcript has 2 exons. Lineage: Eukaryota; Metazoa; Chordata; Actinopteri; Syngnathiformes; Syngnathidae. The record is from RefSeq and is a predicted model, not a curated record.